RNAcentral lists this ribosomal RNA (253 nucleotides) under uncultured bacterium. RNAcentral describes it as "partial 16S ribosomal RNA". It matches the Rfam family "Bacterial small subunit ribosomal RNA", at positions 524 to 776 of the family's 1533-position model. The record is from RNAcentral.
UACGUAGGGUGCAAGCGUUAAUCGGAAUUACUGGGCGUAAAGCGUGCGCAGGCGGUUUUGUAAGUCUGACGUGAAAGCCCCGGGCUCAACCUGGGAAUUGCGUUGGAGACUGCAAGGCUUGAAUCUGGCAGAGGGGGGUAGAAUUCCACGUGUAGCAGUGAAAUGCGUAGAGAUGUGGAGGAACACCGAUGGCGAAGGCAACCCCCUGGGUCAAGAUUGACGCUCAUGCACGAAAGCGUGGGGAGCAAACAGG